This 496-nucleotide ribosomal RNA is filed under the name uncultured bacterium. RNAcentral describes it as "partial 16S ribosomal RNA". It matches the Rfam family "Bacterial small subunit ribosomal RNA", at positions 28 to 506 of the family's 1533-position model. The record is from RNAcentral.
GAUGAACGCUGGCGGCGUGCCUAAUACAUGCAAGUCGAGCGAACAGACGAGGAGCUUGCUCCUCUGACGUUAGCGGCGGACGGGUGAGUAACACGUGGAUAACCUACCUAUAAGACUGGGAUAACUUCGGGAAACCGGAGCUAAUACCGGAUAAUAUAUUGAACCGCAUGGUUCAAUAGUGAAAGACGGUUUUGCUGUCACUUAUAGAUGGAUCCGCGCCGCAUUAGCUAGUUGGUAAGGUAACGGCUUACCAAGGCAACGAUGCGUAGCCGACCUGAGAGGGGGACCGCCCCACCGGGACAGGGAACCCGGCCCAGACCCCUAGGGGGGGAAAGAGGAGGGAAUUUUCCGAAAUGGGGGAAAGCCGAACGGAGCAACCCCGGGUGAGGGAGAAAGGUUUUGGGAUCGAAAACCUCUUUUUUUAGGGAAAAAAAAAUGUGUAAAAAACUAUGCCGUUUUUGCGGGUCCCUAACAAGAAAGCCCCGGCAAACUCCGU